This 459-nucleotide unclassified non-coding RNA is filed under the name uncultured Bordetella sp. RNAcentral describes it as "partial 16S-23S ribosomal RNA intergenic spacer". It matches the Rfam family "Bacterial small subunit ribosomal RNA", at positions 10 to 468 of the family's 1533-position model. Lineage: Bacteria; Pseudomonadati; Pseudomonadota; Betaproteobacteria; Burkholderiales; Alcaligenaceae. The record is from RNAcentral.
AGUUCGAUUCUGGCUCAGAUUGAACGCUGGCGGGAUGCUUUACACAUGCAAGUCGAACGGCAGCACGGACUCUGGUCUGGUGGCGAGUGGCGAACGGGUGAGUAAUGUAUCGGAACGUGCCUAGUAGCGGGGGAUAACUACGCGAAAGCGUAGCUAAUACCGCAUACGCCCUUCGGGGAAAGCGGGGGACCUUUCUUGGCCCGCAUCAUUAGAGCGCGGCCGAUAUCGGAUUAGCUAGUUGGUGGGGUAACGGCUCACCAAGGCGACGAUCCGUAGCUGGUUUGAGAGGACGACCAGCCACACUGGGAUCGAGACACGGCCCAGACUCCUACGGGAGGCAGCAGUGGGGAAUUCUGGGACAAUGGGGAAACCCUGAUCCAGCCAUCCUGGCGUGUGCGAUGAAGGCCUUUCAAUAAAGCACUUUUGGCAGGAAAGAAACGGCACGGGAUAAUACCCCGU